Molecule: long non-coding RNA, 414 nt
Filed under: Hordeum vulgare
Lineage: Eukaryota; Viridiplantae; Streptophyta; Magnoliopsida; Poales; Poaceae
Description: long non-coding RNA (HVUL_LNC019482)
Source: RNAcentral
AUGUUCACAACCUACCAUUUUCCUAAACUACAACAUGUAUCUUUAUCUUUAUCAAAUACUUGAAUUCCAUCAUAUUGUUGACCGAGUAAAAUUGCAAACAUAGGAGAACUGGAAUUCUAGAAAUGAGAUCGACAUAGACACUUGGUAUGAUGAUUAUUUGUAGGGGAAUGCGAUGGAACAUAAAAGGUCCGACAGGAACAAAGAAGAUUAGCAUCGCCCCAUCGUCACCAAGCAUGAGUGCGGCAAGGUUUUGAUCAACCAUAUUAUUUAUUGAGCAUCUAAGAACAGUUAACAAACUCUCAAGACAUCAAGAGAUGCUCUGAUAAGACUGAAAUGCCAACAACAUAAAUCAUUCCAUGAGUUGCUCCCGAAUUUCUUUGGACCACUUUAUUUUAAGAGGUACGGAGGCAUGCA